AACGAACGCUGGCGGCAUGCCUAACACAUGCAAGUCGAACGAGACCUUCGGGUCUAGUGGCGCACGGGUGCGUAACGCGUGGGAACCUGCCCUUAGGUUCGGAAUAACUCCCCGAAAGGGGUGCUAAUACCGGAUAAUGUCUUCGGACCAAAGAUUUAUCGCCUUUGGAUGGGCCCGCGUUGGAUUAGCUAGUUGGUAGGGUAAAAGACUACCAAGGCGACGAUCCAUAGCUGGUCUGAGAGGAUGAUCAGCCACACUGGGACUGAGACACGGCCCAGACUCCUACGGGAGGAAGCAGUGGGGAAUAUUGGACAAUGGGCGGAAGGCUGAUCCAGAAAGGCCGAGUGAGUGAUGAAGGCCUUAGGGUUGUAAAGCUCUUUUACACGGGAUGAUAAUGACAGGACCGGGAGAAUAAGCGACGGCUAACUCCGUG
This 433-nucleotide ribosomal RNA is filed under the name uncultured bacterium. RNAcentral's name for it is "partial 16S ribosomal RNA". It matches the Rfam family "Bacterial small subunit ribosomal RNA", at positions 29 to 507 of the family's 1533-position model. The record is from RNAcentral.